RNAcentral lists this ribosomal RNA (253 nucleotides) under uncultured bacterium. RNAcentral describes it as "partial 16S ribosomal RNA". It matches the Rfam family "Bacterial small subunit ribosomal RNA", at positions 524 to 776 of the family's 1533-position model. The record is from RNAcentral.
UACGGAGGGGGCUAGCGUUGUCCGAAGUUACUGGGCGUAAAGCGCGCGUAGGCGGGUUGGUAAGUCCGCUGUGAAAGCCCGGAGCUUAACUCCGGAGGGUCGGUGGAUACUGCCAGUCUUGAAGGUGCUAGGGGGAGAUGGAAUUACCGGUGUAGCGGUGAAAUGCGUAGAUAUCAGGAGGAACACCGAUGGCGAAGGCAGGUCUCUGGGCCACUACUGACGCUGAGAAGCGAAAGCAUGGGGAGCGAACAGG